AGCGAACGCUGGCGGCAGGCUUAACACAUGCAAGUCGAGCGGGCGUAGCAAUACGUCAGCGGCAGACGGGUGAGUAACGCGUGGGAACGUACCUUUUGGUUCGGAACAACACAGGGAAACUUGUGCUAAUACCGGAUAAGCCCUUACGGGGAAAGAUUUAUCGCCGAAAGAUCGGCCCGCGUCUGAUUAGCUAGUUGGUGGGGUAACGGCUCACCAAGGCGACGAUCAGUAGCUGGUCUGAGAGGAUGAUCAGCCACAUUGGGACUGAGACACGGCCCAAACUCCUACGGGAGGCAGCAGUGGGGAAUAUUGGACAAUGGGGGCAACCCUGAUCCAGCCAUGCCGCGUGAGUGAUGAAGGCCCUAGGGUUGUAAAGCUCUUUUGUGCGGGAAGAUAAUGACGGUACCGCAAGAAUAAGCCCCGGCUAACUUCGUG
This 435-nucleotide ribosomal RNA is filed under the name uncultured bacterium. Its description in RNAcentral is "partial 16S ribosomal RNA". It matches the Rfam family "Bacterial small subunit ribosomal RNA", at positions 29 to 507 of the family's 1533-position model. The record is from RNAcentral.